This 492-nucleotide ribosomal RNA is filed under the name uncultured bacterium. RNAcentral describes it as "partial 16S ribosomal RNA". It matches the Rfam family "Bacterial small subunit ribosomal RNA", at positions 29 to 507 of the family's 1533-position model. The record is from RNAcentral.
AGUGAACGCUGGCGGUAGGCCUAACACAUGCAAGUCGAACGGCAGCACAGUAAGAGCUUGCUCUUACGGGUGGCGAGUGGCGGACGGGUGAGGAAUACGUCGGAAUCUACUUUUUCGUGGGGGAUAACGUAGGGAAACUUACGCUAAUACCGCAUACGACCUACGGGUGAAAGCAGGGGAUCUUCGGACCUUGCGCGAUUGAAUGAGCCGAUGUCCGAUUAGCUAGUUGGCGGGGUAAAGGCCCACCAAGGCGACGAUCCGUAGCUGGUCUGAGAGGAUGAUCAGCCACACUGGAACUGAGACACGGUCCAGACUCCUACGGGAGGCAGCAGUGGGGAAUAUUGGACAAUGGGCGCAAGCCUGAUCCAGCCAUACCGCGUGGGUGAAGAAGGCCUUCGGGUUGUAAAGCCCUUUUGUUGGGAAAGAAAAGCAGCAGGUUAAUACCCCACUGUUCUGACGGUACCCAAAGAAUAAGCACCGGCUAACUUCGUG